Molecule: ribosomal RNA, 534 nt
Filed under: uncultured bacterium
Lineage: Bacteria
Description: bacterial SSU rRNA
Rfam family: Bacterial small subunit ribosomal RNA
Source: RNAcentral
AGACAAUAGAUACCCUGGUAGUCCACGCCGUAAGCGAUGAGUGCUAGGUGUUAGGGGUUUCGAUGCCCGUAGUGCCGAAAGUUAAACACAUUAAGCACUCCGCCUGGGGAGUACGGCCGCAAGGCUGAAACUCAAAGGAAUUGACGGGGACCCGCACAAGCAGUGGAGCAUGUGGUUUAAUUCGAAGCAACGCGAAGAACCUUACCAGGUCUUGACAUCCUUUGACCACCCAAGAGAUUGGGCUUCCCCUUCGGGGGCAAAGUGACAGGUGGUGCAUGGUUGUCGUCAGCUCGUGUCGUGAGAUGUUGGGUUAAGUCCCGCAACGAGCGCAACCCUUGAUCUUAGUUGCCAGCAUUGAGUUGGGCACUCUAAGGUGACUGCCGGUGACAAACCGGAGGAAGGUGGGGAUGACGUCAAAUCAUCAUGCCCCUUAUGACCUGGGCUACACACGUGCUACAAUGGAUGGUACAAAGGGCAGCGAAACCCGCGAGGUGAAGCCAAUCCCAUAAAGCCAUUCUCAGUUCGGAUUGCAGG